Non-coding RNA from Caenorhabditis elegans, 122 nucleotides. Lineage: Eukaryota; Metazoa; Nematoda; Chromadorea; Rhabditida; Rhabditidae. The record is from Ensembl.
AAAAACAUCUGCACACCAUUAUUGUUUACAAGCCUUGCAUAUUUCAAGGUCUUCAAGGAACUGAUCAAAAAGUGACGGACAACACAUUGUACAGGUCAGUUGAUGAACGAGAGAAAGAGUUU